This is a long non-coding RNA of Sycon ciliatum, 941 nucleotides long. RefSeq lists it as uncharacterized. The record is from RefSeq and is a predicted model, not a curated record. NCBI's taxonomy places the organism in Eukaryota, Metazoa, Porifera, Calcarea, Leucosolenida, Sycettidae. The transcript is spliced from 3 exons.
CGUAAAAUACCGGGAGGCGACACGAGAUGCACAACCGCGUCGGAUGAUUGCCUCAGCUCGGGCACGAGUGCUGAGACCUCACGCGCUGCAUGGCGAGGGACUUCCCAUGAGGUCAAAGCGGCGCAGGUCAUGCAAAAGGACGCGUUCGCUGUUUGGUCCAAAAAAUUUGAAAACUCAAUAAAAUUAUCCUGCACACAACGAAUCCAGUGUCAGCAGUUCGUUUUGUUUUUCUAAGUAAUAAUACUUUGUGCCUUGGCCUUCGAAGUAAAGGAUGAUGGAGCUUGACAGAGAUGACUGCCAAAGUGAUGAGUCCACCGUGGAAGAUGUAGAUGACGCCACGUAUUCACUUGGUGACCUGAGUUGUGGGGAUGUUCAGCUGUGGGCUACAGAUCGAUGUAAGAGUGGUAGUGCCAUCAUGGUGUACAGGCCUAUGGAAGGUGCAGUGAUCCAUGGAAUUUGCAAACUGCUGACAAUGAGACAGGCGAGUGUUACUGAGGCGACGGAGUCAUUCCUGCAUGUUAUUAUGACACGGUUACACAAGGCAUCAGGUACUGCAAAUCUGCUACGCCAGGAAGUGUGCCAGCUGAGUGAAGGCAUGCAAGGGUGCUGAUAUUUCGCAAGCAUGGCAACAAAUGCUGUCCGUCAUCGCAACAGCUAUUCCCGAAGUGAAAAUCAAUUGUGAAGAUUUGGAAGUUACAUCUGCAGUGCUAGCGAAUCUGAUAAGCUACCUGCAUGCCACGGCUGCCGCUGCUAUCAGGAAAGCGUCAAUAGCACCAUCCAAAGCUGCUGAAGCCAUCCCCGAACCGGUGAUUGACAAUUUGUCUCACCUUGCUGAAAAGUACCAUGGUGGUUGGUGCUUGGUGGCCGUGCGGCGUGAGCUGGAAGGAGCAAGGUGUCGCAACGACAACUUGCUGCAGCUUAUACCUUUAUUUGGCAAGGAU